RNAcentral lists this ribosomal RNA (253 nucleotides) under uncultured bacterium. Its description in RNAcentral is "partial 16S ribosomal RNA". It matches the Rfam family "Bacterial small subunit ribosomal RNA", at positions 524 to 776 of the family's 1533-position model. The record is from RNAcentral.
UACGUAGGUGGCAAGCGUUGUCCGGAUUUAUUGGGUUUAAAGGGUGCGUAGGCGGUCUUAUAAGUCAGUGGUGAAAUACGGCAGCUCAACUGUCGAGGUGCCAUUGAUACUGUAGGACUUGAGUACAGACGAGGUAGGCGGAAUUGACGGUGUAGCGGUGAAAUGCGUAGAUAUCAGGAAGAACACCCGUGGCUAAGGCGGCUCUCUAGUACGGUACUGACGCUGAGACGCGAAAGCGUGGGGAGCGAACAGG